RNAcentral lists this ribosomal RNA (381 nucleotides) under uncultured bacterium. Its description in RNAcentral is "bacterial SSU rRNA". It matches the Rfam family "Bacterial small subunit ribosomal RNA", at positions 29 to 416 of the family's 1533-position model. The record is from RNAcentral.
AACGAACGCUGGCGGCGUGCCUAACACAUGCAAGUCGAACGGGUGUAGCAAUACAUCAGUGGCGCACGGGUGAGUAAUGCAUGGGAAUCUGCCUUGUGGAGGGGGAUAACUACGGGAAACUGUAGCUAAGACCGCGUAAGCAGUAGCGAUACUGGAAAGUGAGGGGAUCGCAAGACCUUCAGCCAUAAGAUGAGCCCAUGUUCCAUUAGCUAGUUGGCGGGGUAACAGCCCACCAAGGCGAAGAUGGAUAGCUGGUCUGAGAGGACGAUCAGCCACACUGGGACUGAGACACGGCCCAGACUCCUACGGGAGGCAGCAGUGGGGAAUAUUGCGCAAUGGGCGAAAGCCUGACGCAGCAACGCCGCGUGAGUGAAGAAGGCC